This 540-nucleotide transfer RNA is filed under the name uncultured Prochlorococcus sp. RNAcentral describes it as "partial 16S-23S ribosomal RNA intergenic spacer". The stretch from base 212 to 284 matches the Rfam family "tRNA". The record is from RNAcentral. Lineage: Bacteria; Bacillati; Cyanobacteriota; Cyanophyceae; Synechococcales; Prochlorococcaceae.
CAGGGAGACAACAAAAUGUUAAAUAUUAAUUUUGUCACCUUAGGUCGAUCGGUAUCUCACAUUCUUAAAUUUAUUAAGGAUUUUAUUUCCUAAGUUUUUUCUAGGUCACACCCAUUACUUUUCCUGGGCCAUUAGCUCAGGUGGUUAGAGCGCACCCCUGAUAAGGGUGAGGUCCCUGGUUCAAGUCCAGGAUGGCCCAUAUCUCUAUGUUGGGGGUAUAGCUCAGUUGGUAGAGCGCCUGCUUUGCAAGCAGGAUGUCAGCGGUUCGAGUCCGCUUACCUCCACUGAUUACCACCUCUUACAUAAUUUUAGAAGGAAAUGUUUUGAGUUUCGAUCAAAUUCUGAACGAAUCUAGCUUCCUAAUUAUCUUUAUUAAGAAGCUGGACUCAUUGAAUUAAUUUCAUUGUUUUCAGAGAACCUUGACAACUGCAUAGAUUAUUUUUAAAGACAAUAAGCAUCUUUAAUGAUGCAGAUUUAUUAUUUGUGCUAAUGCAUUAAUAACAAUUCUAUUAAGCUGAUGCUUCAAUUUUUGAAGUUAUU